This is a long non-coding RNA of Ostrinia nubilalis (European corn borer), 696 nucleotides long. RefSeq lists it as uncharacterized. The transcript has 2 exons. The record is from RefSeq and is a predicted model, not a curated record. NCBI's taxonomy places the organism in Eukaryota, Metazoa, Arthropoda, Insecta, Lepidoptera, Crambidae.
GCCUUGUCGCCAGCACACGCCGUUUUCGAGUAGUGACCCGUGAUUUGUUUUCAUAUCAUCACGAUGAGGAUAAUAAACGAACGACUGAACGAUGAAGAAAUAAGACCCUUUCCUAAAGCGGCGCCACGUUUAGAUAAUAGAAGAAAUACUCGGAAACGUAAAAGAACUAUACAGGGUGUCACAGAAUGGAGGUAGCUUUACUAAUGUACUAUCCCAAAAAAAUAUGAAAAAAAAAAAUUGAGUUCGGAUUUUUUUUUUUAAAUAUAGUGCUCUAAACUCCAAAUCUAGUCAUUAUUUUCAAAAGUUUGUUUACAAUUAAAUGAAGCGAUCAUGUACAAUUAAUAUUAGUAACAAAAAAGUACAAAUAAACUCCAAACGCAGCAAUUAUAGCCAGAUACUUAGGCAAAGCUGAUUUAUUUUCACUUUAAAAAAAAUUGUGUCCUUAUGCGCUAUAUUUUUUUUUUCAUAUUUUUUUAGGGAUAGUACAUUAGUAGAGCUACCUCCUCUAUCAGUUUGAUUCACCCAUCUGGGACACCCUGUAUACAAAGAUUGAUAUGUGAUUUAAAAUGAGACUGAAGAAGAUUUUAGUUUAAAAAGUUUAAAUACUAAGAGUUGAUAGUUUUUUUUAAAGACUUAUUAAAAAUGUCUGUACUUGAUUAUAAUUGUUUUUGAAUAAAGAGUUCAAUUAAAUUGAAA